ACAAAAGACCAGUGUAUUUCAGGAGAGCUCAUGAAAGACACACCUGUGAGAUUGAGAUCACAGUUAUAAUCUUGUAAUUACAGCAAGCAGGAAAAAGAAGACUUCAUUUUGGAAGGUCCACGUGUGUGAUUCCAGGGUUUGCCUUUCCAGUUCCUGCACCAAAGGGAAGAUCUUGAAAGUGCUGCUGUGCCCAACUGGAUACAGGGCAUAGCAAAUUGGCCCUUUGUGGAUUGUAAUGGAGCCUGAGCAUGAACCAGAACUUGUCUGUGAUUUCACAUCAUUCCAACAAGGAUCUUGUGUCUGUUGUCGAAGCUGACAGAGACUGUGCCUGAGAUGUGUUGAUGAUGUUUUGGCUGCCUUUCAAGAAAGCACACAUGCUCUGAACACCUUUCUAGAAUUCUUGAGUAGUCAAGUGUCUUCCCAUUAAAAUCUACAAAGCAAAUGGAGAAAUAAAGCUUAAUGUCCUUUUCUAAACAGA
Molecule: long non-coding RNA, 478 nt
Organism: Prinia subflava (tawny-flanked prinia)
Lineage: Eukaryota; Metazoa; Chordata; Aves; Passeriformes; Cisticolidae
Exons: 3
Source: RefSeq, a predicted model, not a curated record